AAGAGUCCACAGGCAGGUGGGGUAAAACCCACCUGCCUGCACACUCCACCCUUUGUUUACAUUACCUUUGUUGCUUUGGCAGGCCCGUCUCCGGACCACCGGCCUUGGCUGGUCAGCGCCUGCCAGAGGACCUAAAACUCUUGUUAAUAAUAUUGUCUGAGUACUAUAUAAUAGUUA
This 177-nucleotide unclassified non-coding RNA is filed under the name uncultured Alatospora. RNAcentral describes it as "sequence contains ITS1". Lineage: Eukaryota; Fungi; Ascomycota. The record is from RNAcentral.